RNAcentral lists this long non-coding RNA (326 nucleotides) under Oncorhynchus kisutch (coho salmon). RNAcentral's name for it is "lncRNA (ENSOKIG00005036249.1)". Lineage: Eukaryota; Metazoa; Chordata; Actinopteri; Salmoniformes; Salmonidae. The record is from RNAcentral.
UGAACAAGGAGAGGAACCAACUUUGGCGGAAGUCGUGACAGCCGUAUACAUGCAAGAAGAAGGAAGUGUGUGUCAUUGUGCAUGUACUCAGCCAGUUGGAAGGAAGAAUUCAGCCCACACCACCUCCAUCUCGGAACCAUUCCAGAAUCUUGUUCUGAUUUGGAUUUCUACUCAAUCUCCUGGUUUGGAUGUUCACUCUGUACCGGUUUGGCUCAUCGAAUCCCAUCGCCUUUGUUGGAUGAUUCAGAAGCUGAGGUAAGAGUGAUUCUUUAUGUGUUACUAACAGAUCAUUUUAAAGCUAUGGAGAAUGACCGAGAGAACGCUAA